GGGGUUGUGGCUCAGCUGUAGAGCGCUCAUCUAGCACAUGCGAGGCCCUGGGUUUGAUCCUCAGCACCACUA
Ictidomys tridecemlineatus (thirteen-lined ground squirrel) is the source of this 72-nucleotide non-coding RNA. Lineage: Eukaryota; Metazoa; Chordata; Mammalia; Rodentia; Sciuridae. The record is from Rfam.